UCUGGGCGUGGUGGCGGGCGCCUGUAAUCCCAGCUACUCAGGAGGAUGAGGCAGGAGAAUCGCUUGAACCCAGGAGGUGGGGGUUGCAGUGAGCUGAGAUCAUGCCACUGCACUCCAGCCUGGGCGACAGAGCGAGACUCCGUCUCAA
Molecule: unclassified non-coding RNA, 148 nt
Organism: Papio anubis (olive baboon)
Lineage: Eukaryota; Metazoa; Chordata; Mammalia; Primates; Cercopithecidae
Rfam family: Metazoan signal recognition particle RNA
About the family: The signal recognition particle (SRP) is a universally conserved ribonucleoprotein.
Source: Ensembl